UUGUAAUUCACAAACAUAUCAAAAAUACAUUGAACAUUAAACUUCAAAAUUAAAUUUUCAACAUUAGCAUCUUCAGACUCCAAAUUUUCAACAUUAACUAGUAUCUUCAAACUCCAAAAUCAAAUUUAAACACAAAAACUUCAAUAUUCUAAGAUUCACUCCGACCACACAAUUACAUCAUCAUAAUUGAAUAUUCAAGACAAUUUACAACGAAAUCAACGACUGCCAGUAGGAUCACUAUCAUCACGUAAUCUCCUUGCAUCCAUAGGCGAAAUGGGUCCACUAGACGCAUCACUUGGCUACAUAAAAAUGCAAAGUAUAAAAUCAAUUAGAUAAACUUUUAUGAUAAAUAUAAAUAGAUCAUCUUCGUUAGCAUCUCCUAUUUUUUUCCAAAGAGAAGUAAACAUAUGCAUUUCAUUUGUUAGGAAAUACACAUCUAAUUAGAGCCUGGACACUUGAAAAUGAUGUGAGGAAAAUGUCUGGCUACUACAAAGCAAAUAUUGAAUGGAACAUUAACAAGACAAAAUUUGGCAGAUCAACAUAGUAGUUACAUGAUCUAGUUUAGGGGAUUAAAAUGUUAUGUUGUCCUCAUUCCCAAUCUGCUCUUUCUCUUUUAGGGAAUGCAUAUUUUCCUACUCCUUAUGCUUUGUUUAGAUGCCAAAGUUUGAAGAGCAUCAUGUGAUUCACUUCUUGGGAUUUGAAUACUAGUCCUUGUUGAAAUGUAGGUGUCUUCCUAAGUAUGUGAAAGGGGAUUGUUGGACUAGUUUCAGUAGUAAUUUGUACAAUCCUGCAUUGAUUGGAUUUUCUUUUUCAUAUGAGAAAAAAAUAAUAAUGUGAGCAUGUGCAAUGUUUUUUUCAUAAUGAAGACCAGCAGCAAAAUGAGGAUAUCUAACAAGGUCAUUCAAAAAGCUACAAGUAUGUCCUAAUAUCUAGGAAUUUAAACCUACAAACUAGAGCAAUUGUAAAACCUUUCUAAUUUGGAACCAAAUUAGAACUUUCCCUUAUCGAUAUAUAUAAACACCCCAAAAAAAUGUUCUUUCAUAUCAGUAUAAUAUUUCUGAUGAAUGAGAUUCAAUUGAGCCCUUUUCUAGCUAUGUAUUGAGAACCCUGAUCAUUGGUGCCUUAAAAGUAUAAUGCCUUCCUAAAUAAUCUUUAUAAAAACUUAAAAAGCAAUAAUGAAAGAGCUAUUUUCCUUUUUUUUAAAGAACUUCUGAAUGUAGGCACCAAUACUAUAGCCUUUGGUAAAGUAACAAUAUCUUAUAUGACCAGAAAACAUGGGUCUCGGACUAAUGUUUGUCAAUGGUGGUAUGCAGGGGCUCUGAGGACUAUGGAAAAUCAGCUACAACUUAUAAAUCAAAGAAAAGGGAUGAGAUGGUAGAAGAGGGUUGAGAAUAGAGGGAAACUCUGGAGAUUAGUGAAGUGAUGUGUUGGGCUCCUCUACAUCUAAUCAUUCAUUCAAGCUUCCUAACCUAAUGUACUACAUUCCUUGACAUCCCCAACAGAAAUUGUACUCAUCAAUUUUGAUCCUCAAUAUAUUAGGUUCAAAAGUUGUGUGGUGUAAAAUUCCAUAAAAAGAACACUAUUAUAUAGAAGAUUUACAACUCACUAGUCACUACAUUAUCAUGCCAUAUGAAGUUUUCUAGCAUAAUUUCUUUUUUGAAAUAUUAUUUAAGCUUCUAACUUGAUCAGCGAAUAAAGUCCUAACAAAACUUCAAAUUUACUCAAAUACUAACAAUGAUAAAUGGAAUAAAGUAAAACAUGACAAUUAAUUAUUUGGAAUCAUGAAAAGUAAUGUAAUAUACUAUUAAACUUCAACAUAUAUCUAUUAAUCAUUGAACAAACUCAAUCAGUUAAUCAAACUAGGAACCUGAGUACCAUUGAACACCAGAGUGCGUUUACUUAAACUUCAAAAUCAAUUAAGUAAACCGACAUAUUCAAUUGAAAAAAAGUAAGGAGAACUUUUCUUACUACUGUGGGAGAAACCAUUGAAGGAGAUUCAAAGAGCCCACAAAUUAUUUCGGUAUCUUUCCUUCUUUUAGUAUCAUAUAUGCUUUCAAAUCACUCAUUAUCCGAUUAUAAGAAUUCAUGAUUUGAUUGUAGUUUUCUUGGCAUUGGAGCGAACAAGAACCUCUACUACUUGAUGCACUUGUACCACCAAAAUGAGGUCUAACUUGUUUAAAAAUACUACUAGGAACAACUCGUAAUCCUAAUCAUCUUACCCUUCCAAAGUGCUCUUACCCUAGCAUCUUAACAAUGACAUCAUUUGGAAAAACUUGAGACUCAUCUAUGAUGCUUUGUCUCAAAGCUGACUCAAUUUUUUUCCUAAUAUAGAAAAUUUGUUGUCAAAAUAAAUUACUAAUAGAACUUCAUUUGACAUACCUUGGUUGAUUGGUCAAUAAGAGUCUAUGGAACAUAAGUAUAACUCACACAUAUUUCAUUUGUUGCUUUAUUAACAUGUACUCCAUCUUGAUUCUUAUGGGUAGCAAUGUACAUUUGUGCUCGUCCAGGACAUUGUCUAAUCUCGACCAUUUAUAAAUUGAAAAACAUAAUCAAAAUAAUAUACUACUUAGGAAUAAUUACAUUUGAGAUUAAUUCACUCACCAUUUCAGCUCUUCUUGUAGCAUUGGCUUUGGAGCCACCAGUGUCUGAAAUUGUCUGUUUCUUUCAAUUAUCGAGGUUUUUUUUUACACAUUUUCUUCUAAAAAUAUAUUUAAACCUCAAUUAGAAAAAAUAAUUAUACAACUAUAAAGAAGUUCAUUUACAUAAAUACAUUCGUUGAUUCUUUAAAAUUGUAUUUAAUAAAAGAAAUCCAUUGAUCCGAUGAGAUUCCAUCCGACACCUUAUUCAUAAUCUGAGAUUUACUUUUAAGUGGAUCAUCAACUUCAUUCCACAUAUUAAUCUUAUUUGCAACCCACUUUUUUUCAAUAGAUAAAGAAACAUAUCAUCGAGCAACUGAUUUGACUGUGUCAAAGAAGAAUUUGGGCUUUAAAAUGAAAAUAUUGGUCAGCUUUUCUAUUACAUGUAAAUAUAAAAUUCAAAGACAAAAUAAAGUUAUAGUUUUUUGUCUCACAAAAAAAUUAACCGGUGGUAUAGUCAUUAGAAUUUAGAGCUUAUAUCUUUAUAAUAUGAUCGAAGAUAUGGUUGAAGUAUGUCAUAGGUAAAAUCAACCAUUUCUCAAUAUUGAUUGGAAAUAAAGAGCAAUCAUACACUAAAAUUCCACAAAAGCACAAAAGUAGGUUGUGUGCUUCCCGAAAUGGUUCAUCUUAAGCAUCAAAAUUAAUCAUGAUACAUUCUUCACCUGUUAAAUUCAUUACUUCCUUAGAUUUCACUUUGAUUUUCUUGAUAUUAUUUCUUGGAUCUGUUAUACGAAAAGAGAUUGGGUGAAUCUAUGAGAGACAUUACAUUGGCUUAGAAAGGUCAGUUGAAUAUGUAUUGAUAGUCUGAGGUAUUUACCUAUUGUGACCAUGACCCUAUGCGUAUUCGAUUAAUAUCUAGAAUGUUUUUCAGGUGUAACCUAGUCUGUUGGAGCUGGUUGUGUUGAGUCCUAAUUGGUUGGAGUUGAAUAUGAUGUAGAAUAAAUUGAUCGAAAUAACUGUGAUGAGUCAUGAUUUUUUACACCCAGAUGUGAUAUGAAAUGAACUGAUCGAGAUGACUGUGAUGAGUCCCGACUAACCAAAUAUGGAUGUGAUGAGUCCCAACAAAUAGGAGAUGGUUUUAAGUGUCCCAACCAAUAAAAGAUGGCUAUGAUGAGUUUCGACCAACAAGAGAUGGCUGUGAUGAGUCUCGACCAAUAGGAAAAAGCUAUGAUAAGUCCCGACCAAUCGGAGAUGGAUGUGAUGUCAAGUGAACUGACAAAGAUGGUUGUUAUUCAGGAAAAAAUGUCAGACCUGAAUAUGAAGUGUUUUGAUCUAUAGGAGCUGGAUGGGAUGCUGAAUAAACUGGUCGAGAUGGUUGUGGUGCAUACUAAAUUGGCGGAGCCAGAUUUGUUUUAUACAGAAAAAAAGGUGUUGAUUCAGUACCUUGUGAUGUAGAUACCAACAGAUGUUUUUUUUUUUUAAUUUGGUAUUUUAUUAAUAAUCAUCCAACAAUAAUGGACCAACCCAUUAUACAAAUUAACAUUCUAAGCCUAUUUAUUUGACCCGGCCUAACCCGGAUCCAUUUAAAACAUAUAUAAUCAGUAAGGUUUCCAAAAUAUACAAUAUUCCUAAUUCCUAUCUCAUUCAUGCCUCCUUUUAGUAUGUUACUUCCAAAGUACAUACCUACGGAUCUAGUUUUUAUUUUCUUGCAAGUGCUUGAACCUUGGCAUAUCGGCAGUAAACAAUCUAGUGUUUGGCAGUGAAUUGAAGCUCUAGCAUCUAAUUUGUCAAAUCAGAAACGAAUGAUUAGCAGUAAACUAAAGCUCUAGCAUCUACUUUGUCAAACAUACAUAACAUGAUAAAUUAAGUGUUGAACUAAAACAGGGAGGUUCUUGGUUUGUGCAGUGGAGAUAAUACCAUCUCCUAUUCACACUUUAGGAAUAGGGUAGUCAACAAUAGAAUCAGAGAGUUGCUUGCUUAGAAACAAAAGGAAAAAAGAACCAAAAUUGAUUAGGCAAAAUUGAUUAGGACUAAUACUAGUAGUGUAUACGUUGAGUAAUAAUGGAAAAUAGAAGAAUGAACAAGUUAGAAGUGAUUUUUAUUUUGUAACAAUAAAGGGGGAAAUGGGGUUGGUUUUGAAAGUCAACAGAAUGCUUACUUUCUUGGGGCUACACAACACUGCAGAUUGCAGAAUAAAUAUAAGUGGGUACUUGAUCAAUUAAUAAAGACAACCGACCUGGUUUUUUUUACUACUCACUUCACUGCUCCAUAUUGAAAACAUAAAUAGUAGUUACUAUUUACAUUCACAUUAAUCACCCUGUUCAAGCUGCUACUAACAAACAUAUAUCUAGGGCUACCUAUCCUUCUUAGUUCUCACCUAAUAUGCAUGCAUGCAACUAUAAAUAAAUGCCUAUAUUGUUAAUCCUACUCUAAAAUUAUUGAUAUAUAUUGUCAAAUAAAACUGAAGUUGUAGCAUAAAAAACAAAUCAAAAAUAGAGAGAGCUCUAUAACUGAAGCUCUAGCAUCAAAAAUAAUGUUAGGCCAUCUUCUCAACCAUCUACUUUAUCAAAUACAAGCUCUAUCAUAAGCAUAAGCAGUAGCAGUGGCAAGUAAGAUGACAAACCUGGCUUCUCAUUAGGAUGGAUGUUUUGGUCUCAGCUUGAACUAAAGACCUAAUGUGUUUAUGCCAUAUUGUAAGUAAAUAGAAACAUCUAUCUGUAAAUAAUAUCGAGGUUAUACAUGUUUCACUUGUUUAAAAAGAGAUAUAUCAACUUUAAAUCGUACAAGUUAGAGAUAUA
This 5374-nucleotide long non-coding RNA is filed under the name Capsicum annuum. Its description in RNAcentral is "long non-coding RNA (CANN_LNC019543)". Lineage: Eukaryota; Viridiplantae; Streptophyta; Magnoliopsida; Solanales; Solanaceae. The record is from RNAcentral.